This is a long non-coding RNA of Bombus huntii, 249 nucleotides long. RefSeq lists it as uncharacterized. NCBI's taxonomy places the organism in Eukaryota, Metazoa, Arthropoda, Insecta, Hymenoptera, Apidae. The transcript has 3 exons. The record is from RefSeq and is a predicted model, not a curated record.
UCAUGCAUUUAAUAGGUUUACGGCGGUGGACAGAGUUUGUAAAAAAUGAAGACAAGGAGUAACAAGUACCUGCAAAAAUCAUCCAUCAGCCGGAUAUGUGCUGUCGGAGGGUUUUUCAUUAGCAUUCCCGUCUUUCUAACUGGUAUGAUAUUGUAUACAUUCAUCCAGUUUCAUUCGACGCCGGUGUCACGUAAAAUGGAUACUUGGGUUGCGAGAGAAAAGAAAGCUGAGUCGCAGCCCAACUAUUAA